RNAcentral lists this long non-coding RNA (433 nucleotides) under Homo sapiens (human). RNAcentral's name for it is "HSALNT0176148". The record is from RNAcentral. Lineage: Eukaryota; Metazoa; Chordata; Mammalia; Primates; Hominidae.
GGUCAGGCAUUUUAAAUUUGGGGCCCUUCAGUUUCCCUUCUGGACCAUGAAUAUCAAUAUCAGGAGUGUCAAUGUCCACUUUGGGUCCUGAGACAUCAAUGUCAGCCUUGGGCAGGUUCACAUCCACAUCUGGGCCCUCUCCUUUGAAGCCAGGCAUGCUGAACUUGGGCAUUUUCACCUUGGGCAUCUUCAGGUGCCAGUCUGGGCCAUGAACAUCCACAUCUGGGGCAUCAAUGUCCAUUUUGGGUCCUUUGAUGUCAACAUCUGGCACUUUCAUUUCACCUUCUACCUUGGGCACAGACACAUCCAUAUCCCCUUUGACUUUGGGGCCUUUCAGGUGUAAGUCCACAUCAGGCAUGGAGAUCUUGGGGGCCUUGAAGUGCAUCUCAGGCAUCUUAAACUUGGGCCCUUUCAACUUUGCAUCAGGACACUC